AUUGAACGAUGGCGGCAGGCCUAACACAUGCACGUCGAGCGGAGGAAGGGAGCUUGCUCCUGGAUUCAGCGGCGGACGGGUGAGUAAUGCCUAGGAAUCUGCCUGGUAGUGGGGGAUAACGUCCGGAAACGGGCGCUAAUACCGCAUACGUCCUGCGGGAGAAAGUGGGGGCUCUUCGGACCUCACGCUAUCAGAUGAGCCUAGGUCGGAUUAGCUAGUAGGUGGGGUAAAGGCCUCCCAAGGCGACGAUCCGUAACUGGUCUGAGAGGAUGAUCAGUCACACUAGAACUGAGAUCCGGUCCAAGCUCAUACGGGAGGCAGCAGUCGGGAAUAAUGGACGAAGAGCGAAGGCCUGCUGCAGCCAUGCCGUGUGUGUGAAGAAGGUCUUCGGAUCGUGAAGCACGAGAAGUGGGGACGAAGGGCAGGAAGUUAAUAGCAGGCUGUUUUGACGUUACCAACAGAAAGAGCAACGGCUAACUUCGUG
Molecule: ribosomal RNA, 484 nt
Filed under: uncultured bacterium
Lineage: Bacteria
Description: partial 16S ribosomal RNA
Rfam family: Bacterial small subunit ribosomal RNA
Source: RNAcentral